GGGAAAAAUAUCAUUCCUGUCUUUUCCCUGAAGCUCUCCUUUUGACAGAAGACUGGCUGAGGAGCCACAGGGACGUGGAGAAACAAAGCAUCCCUCAGUCCUAUGGAAUCUGCUGCUUCUAUUCCAAGGAGAGUACAAACUACGACCUUGGUUGCACACUGGUCUACAGGGGACACAUGUGCAGACUGAAUGAAAUCCGGUGAGUUCGAAGCUUUAGUUACUAUGUCAUGUCUGCUUGCCUCAAGGACUGCAAGCUCCAGGAAGAAGAACAAAUGCUCACAUGACUCACUGUUCCAUGACCUCUGACAACAGCUGGCAUGUUUGAUUAGAUGAAUAUCAAAAUUAGAUGAAACUGACAUCAAAAUGUCCCCCCGGGUAAGAGUAAUGUGCAAGACAAUGAUAAGCUGAACACAAACAGGUCACACCUCUGAAAAAUCCUGGACUGGUUUACACACUAUAAGAUGAGAUGCAGAAAACCAAGAUGUAAGACACAGAGACACCAGAGCAUUAAGUCUGAUAUUUUUGCUACACUUUCCUGUUGCCGUCCAUGGUAGGCAACCUGUCUGCAGUCUCACAGCUUCAAUUCAAUGUUCUAAAAACUGAUUAAUUUUUGUUCUCUCCUGGUUCAGGUAUUUUUGCCUGUUAGUCAGACAAUUUCUUGAUCAA
Molecule: long non-coding RNA, 666 nt
Filed under: Mus pahari (shrew mouse)
Lineage: Eukaryota; Metazoa; Chordata; Mammalia; Rodentia; Muridae
Description: lncRNA (MGP_PahariEiJ_G0003289.1)
Source: RNAcentral